Molecule: ribosomal RNA, 342 nt
Filed under: Escherichia coli
Lineage: Bacteria; Pseudomonadati; Pseudomonadota; Gammaproteobacteria; Enterobacterales; Enterobacteriaceae
Description: partial 23S ribosomal RNA
Rfam family: Bacterial large subunit ribosomal RNA
Source: RNAcentral
CAUCUCCGGGGGUAGAGCACUGUUUCGGCAAGGGGGUCAUCCCGACUUACCAACCCGAUGCAAACUGCGAAUACCGGAGAAUGUUAUCACGGGAGACACACGGCGGGUGCUAACGUCCGUCGUGAAGAGGGAAACAACCCAGACCGCCAGCUAAGGUCCCAAAGUCAUGGUUAAGUGGGAAACGAUGUGGGAAGGCCCAGACAGCCAGGAUGUUGGCUUAGAAGCAGCCAUCAUUUAAAGAAAGCGUAAUAGCUCACUGGUCGAGUCGGCCUGCGCGGAAGAUGUAACGGGGCUAAACCAUGCACCGAAGCUGCGGCAGCGACGCUGAUGCGUUGUUGGGUA